UUUGAGUAAAGCAGAUUACUCUCCAUAAUGUGAGUGGGCCUCAUCCAAUCAGUUGAAGGCCUUAAGAGAAAAAGAUGAACUUGUGGAAGAAGGAUUUCUGCCAGCAGACUGUCUUCAGACUCGAACUGCAAUACCAGCUCUUCAUUGGCUCUUCAGCCCACCAACCCAUCCUGCAGAUUUUGAACUUGUCAAGACUCCACAAUCAUAUGACAUCUGCAAGAUAUUUUGGCUACCAAAAGAGAAAUGUUUUCUGUAUUUGAUUUGCCUGUGGAGAAGACAUCUGCAAGAUAUUUAUUUAUUUAUUUUUACUUGCUCUGCACCUUUUUCUUCUGGAGAAGCAACCCAUUUCCUACUUCAAGGUCAACUAAAUUCAGGGUCAAUCAACCAGGCUCUUCAUUCAAUGGACAAAAACUACAGAUUAUCUAAAUAGAUGCAGAAAAGGCCUUCGAUAAAAAUCCUCAUUCCUUCACUUUAAAAACUCUCAAUAAACUAGGUAUUGAAGGAACAUACCUCAAAAUAAUAAGAGCCACUUAUGACAAACUCACAGCCAGUGUCCUUACUGAAUGGGCAAAGGCUGAAAGUAUUCCCUUUGAAAACCAGCACAAGACAAGUUUGCCCUCUCUCCCAGCCCCCAUUCAAUAUAGUAUUGGAAGUUAUGGCCACGGCAAUCGGACAAGAGAAAAAAAUGAAGAAUAUUUAAAUGGGAAAAGAGGAAGCCAAACUAUCUUUUUUUGCAGAUGACAAAAUCCUAUAUCUAGAAAACCCAUAGUCUCAACCCAAAAGCUUCUUAAGCUGAUAAGCAACUUCAGCAAAGUCUCAGGAUAAAAAAUCAAAGUGCAAAAAUUGCUAUACACCAACAACAGGCAAGCCAAGAGCCAAAUCAUGAAUGAGCUUUGAUUCACAUUUGCCACAAAAAGAAUAAAAUACCUAGGAAUACAGCUAACAAGGGAAGUGAAGGACCUCUUCAAGGAGAACUACAAAGCACUUCUCAAAGAAAUCAGAGAUGACGCAAACAAAUGGAAAAACAUUCCAUGCUCAUGGAUAGGAAAAAUCAAUAUUAUGUAAAUGGUCAUACUGCCCAAAGCAACUUAUAAAUUCAGUGUUAUUCCCAUUAAAUUACCAUUGACAUUCUUCACAGAAUUAGAAAAAACUAUUUUGAAAUUUAUAUGGAACCAAAAAGAGCCUGAAUACUGAAAGCAAUCCUUAGCAAAAAGAACAAAGGUGGAGACAUCAGGCUAGCUGACUUCAAACUAUACUACAGGGCUACAGUAACCAAAAUAGCAUGGUACUGGUACAAAAACAGACACACAGACCAAUGGAAAAGAAUAGAGAAUCCAGAACACCUACAGCCAUCUAAUCUUUAACAAACCUGAAAAAGACAAGCAAUGGAGAAAGGAUUCCCUAUUUAAUAAAUGGUGCUGGGAGAACUAGCUAGUCAUAUGCAGGACAUUGAAACUGGAACCUUCCUUACGCCUUGUACAAAAAUCAACUCAAGGUGGAUUAAAGACUUAAAUGUAAAACCCCAAACUAUAAAUACACUAGAAGAAAACCUGGGCAAUACCAUUUAGGAUAGAGGCAUUGGCAAAGAUUUCAUGAUGAAAUCACCAAAAGCAAUUGCAACAAAAGCAAAAAUUAGGAAAUGGGUCUAAUUAAACUAAAGAGCUUCUGCACAGCAAAAGAAACUAUCAACAGAGUAAAUAGACAACCUACAGAAUGGGCAAAAAUUGUUGCAAUCUAUGUAUCUGACAAAGGCCUAAUAUCCAGAAUCUAUAAGGAACUUAAACAAAUUUACUAAAAAAAGCAACCCCAUUAAAAAGUGGGCAAAGGACAUGAACAGACACUUCUCAAAAGAAGACAUACAUAGGUAAAUGUGGCUAACAAACAUGAAAAAAAGGCUUCAUAUCACUAAUUAUUAGAUAAAUGCAAAUCAAAACCACAAUGGGAUACCAUCUCAUAUCAUUCAGGAUGGUGAUUAUUAAGUCAAAAAAUGACAGAUGCUGGUGGAGAUGUGAAGAAAAAGGAACACUUUAAUACCGUUGGUGGGAGUGUAAAUCAGUUCAACCAUUGUGGAAAACAGUCUGGUGAUUCCUCAGAGACAAAGAGGAAGAAAUACCAUUCCACCCAGCAAUCUCAUUACUGGUUAUAUACUUAAAGGAAUAUAAAUAAUUUUCUUAUAAAGACACAUGCACACAUAUGUUUAUUGCUGCACUAUUCACAAUAGCAGACAUAGAAUCAACCUAAAUGCCCAUCGGUGAUAGACUGAAUAAAGAAAAUGUACAUAUACAACAUAGAAUACUACGCAGCCAUAAAAAGGAAUCAGAUCAUGUCCUUUGCAGGGACAUGGAUGGAGCUGGAGGCCAUCAUCCUUAGCAAACUUACACAGGAACAGAAAACCAAAUAAUGCAUGUUCUCACUUACAAGUGGGAGCUAAAUGAUGAGAAUACAUGGACAUAUGGCAGGGAACAACACACACUGGGGCCUGUUGGAGAGUAGGGAACGGGAGGAGUGAGAGGAUCAGGAAGAAUAACUAUUGGAUAAUGGGCUUAACCUGGGUGAUAGGAUGAUCUGUGUAGCAAACCAGCAUGGCACACAUUUACCUAUGUAACAAACAUGCAUAUUCUGCACAUGUAUCCCUGAACUUAAAAUAAAAGUUGGGAAUGAAAAAAAAA
This is a long non-coding RNA of Symphalangus syndactylus (siamang), 2669 nucleotides long. RefSeq lists it as uncharacterized. The record is from RefSeq and is a predicted model, not a curated record. NCBI's taxonomy places the organism in Eukaryota, Metazoa, Chordata, Mammalia, Primates, Hylobatidae.